Molecule: ribosomal RNA, 918 nt
Filed under: uncultured bacterium
Lineage: Bacteria
Description: bacterial SSU rRNA
Rfam family: Bacterial small subunit ribosomal RNA
Source: RNAcentral
AGAGUUUGAUCAUGGCUCAGAUUGAACGCUGGCGGAAUGCUUUACACAUGCAAUGUCGAACGGCAGCACGGACUUCGGUCUGGUGGCGAGUGGCGAACGGGUGAGUAAUAUAUCGGAACGUGCCCAGUCGUGGGGGAUAACGUAGUGAAAAUUACGCUAAUACCGCAUACGAUCUAUGGAUGAAAGCGGGGGACUCGCAAGAGCCUCGCGCGAUUGGAGCGGCCGAUAUCAGAUUAGGUAGUUGGUGAGGUAAAGGCUCACCAAGCCCGCGAUCUGUAGCUGGUCUGAGAGGACGACCAGCCACACUGGAACUGAGACACGGUCCAGACUCCUACGGGAGGCAGCAGUGGGGAAUUUUGGACAAUGGACGAAAGUCUGAUCCAGCCAUUCCGCGUGCAGGAUGAAGGCCCUCGGGUUGUAAACUGCUUUUGUACGGAACGAAAAGGUCUCUCCUAAUACGAGAGGCUCAUGACGGUACCGUAAGAAUAAGCACCGGCUAACUACGUGCCAGCAGCCGCGGUAAUACGUAGGGUGCAAGCGUUAAUCGGAAUUACUGGGCGUAAAGCGUGCGCAGGCGGUUAUAUAAGACAGAUGUGAAAUCCCCGGGCUCAACCUGGGAACUGCAUUUGUGACUGUAUAGCUAGAGUACGGUAGAGGGGGAUGGAAUUCCGCGUGUAGCAGUGAAAUGCGUAGAUAUGCGGAGGAACACCGAUGGCGAAGGCAAUCCCCUGGACCUGUACUGACGCUCAUGCACGAAAGCGUGGGGAGCAAACGGGAUUAGAUACCCUGGUAGUCCACGCCCUAAACGAUGUCAACUGGUUGUUGGGUCUUAACUGACUCAGUAACGAAGCUAACCGCGUGAAAUUUGACCGCUCUGGGAGUACGGCCGCAAGGUUGAAACUCAAAAGGAAUUGACGG